This 1699-nucleotide ribosomal RNA is filed under the name marine metagenome. RNAcentral describes it as "bacterial LSU rRNA". It matches the Rfam family "Bacterial large subunit ribosomal RNA", at positions 345 to 2157 of the family's 2925-position model. The record is from RNAcentral.
GGAAGCUAAACCAUAGUGGGUGAUAGUCCCGUAUAGGUAAAAAAUAAUAUUACUUUCGAGUAGGGCGGAACACGUGAAAUUUUGUCUGAAUAUGGGGAGACCACUUCCCAAGCCUAAAUACUCCUUGAUGACCGAUAGUGAACUAGUACCGUGAGGGAAAGGUGAAAAGCACCCCGAUAGGGGGAAUGAAAUAGUAUCUGAAACCGAAUGCCUACAAGCAGUCAGAGCUUCCCUGAGAAGUGAUGGCAUACCUUUUGUAUAAUGGGUCAGCGACUUAGUCUGUGCAGCAAGCUUAAGCCAUUAGGUGUAGGCGGAGGGAAACCAAGUCUUAAUAGGGCGUUAGUUGUACGGAUUAGACUCGAAGCGGGAUGAGCUUAAUAUGAGCAGGUUGAAGAUGCAGUAACAUGCAUCGGAGGACCGAACCAGGAAACGUUGAAAUGUUUUUGGAUGACUUGUGUUAAGGGGUGAAAGGCCAACCAAAUUCCGCUAUAGCUAGUUCUCCGCGAAAACUAUUUAGGUAGUGCGUUGUGUGAAUGAUAUCGGGGGUAAAGCACUGGAUGGGCUAGGGGGAAGCGAUUCCUACCAAACCUAACCAAACUCUGAAUACCGAUACUCUAUGCACAGCAGACAGACUAUAGGUGCUAAGGUCUAUAGUCGAGAGGGAAACAGCCCAGAUCACCAGUUAAGGCCCCCAAAUAAUGGCUAAGUGGGAAAGUAUGUAGAAAGACCAAGACAGGCAGGAGGUUGGCUUAGAAGCAGCCAUCCUUUAAAGAUAGCGUAACAGCUCACUGUUCUAAUUAAGUUUUUCCGCGACGAAGAUGUAACGGGGCUCAAGCCAUUUGCCGAAACUGUGACUUUAUAAUAAUUGCGAUUGUUAUAAGGGGUAGCGGAGCGUUCUGUAAGCCGUUGAAGGUGUUUUGAAAAAAAUACUGGAGGUAUCAGAAGUGCGAAUGCUGACAUGAGUAGCGAUAAAGAGUGUGAGAGACACUCUCGCCGAAAUCCUAAGGUUUCCUGCGUAAAGUUAAUCUGCGCAGGGUUAGUCGACCCCUAAGGCGAGGCAGAAAUGCGUAGUCGAUGGGAAACAGGUUAAUAUUCCUGUACCUUCUGAGAGUUGACGGAUCAUGUAAAUAGUAUUUUCUUAUUGGAUUGAAAAUGCUGUGAAAUGGUUCCUGGAAAUAGCCUCAGAAUAUAGAUCGUACCUAAACCGACACAGGUAGGAAGGUAGAGUAUACCAAGGCGCUUGAGAGAAUGAUGUUGAAGGAACUCGGCAAAAUGCUCUUGUAACUUCGGAAUAAGAGAGACCAAUAUUGAGGCAACUCUAUAUUGGUGGCACAGAAUAGGGAGAAGCGACUGUUUAUCAAAAACACAGGUCUCUGCUAAGUCGUAAGACGAUGUAUAGGGACUGACGCCUGCCCGGUGCCGGAAGGUUAAAUGGUGGAGUGCAAGCUCUAAAAUGAAGCCCCGGUGAACGGCGGCCGUAACUAUAACGGUCCUAAGGUAGCGAAAUUCCUUGUCAGGUAAGUUCUGACCCGCAUGAAUGGCGUAACGAUUUCUCCGCUGUCUCCAACAUCAACUCAGCGAAAUUGAAUUCUCCGUGAAGAUGCGGAGUACGUGUAGUUAGACGGAAAGACCCCGUGCACCUUUACUAUAGCUUUACAGUGGUAUUAGAAAAUUAAUGUGUAGGCUAGGUGGUAGACUU